Molecule: ribosomal RNA, 248 nt
Filed under: uncultured bacterium
Lineage: Bacteria
Description: partial 16S ribosomal RNA
Rfam family: Bacterial small subunit ribosomal RNA
Source: RNAcentral
GAUCCUGGCUCAGGAUGAACGCUGGCGGCGUGCUUAACACAUGCAAGUCGAGCGAAGCGGUUUCAAUGAAGUUUUCGGAUGGAUUUGAAAUUGACUUAGCGGCGGACGGGUGAGUAACGCGUGGGUAACCUGCCUUACACUGGGGGAUAACAGUUAGAAAUGACUGCUAAUACCGCAUAAUCGCACAGGGCCGCAUGGUCUGGUGUGAAAAACUCCGGUGGUGUAAGAUGGACCCGCGUCUGAUUAGG